This 650-nucleotide ribosomal RNA is filed under the name Pseudomonas sp. MY-CA15. RNAcentral describes it as "bacterial SSU rRNA". It matches the Rfam family "Bacterial small subunit ribosomal RNA", at positions 84 to 730 of the family's 1533-position model. Lineage: Bacteria; Pseudomonadati; Pseudomonadota; Gammaproteobacteria; Pseudomonadales; Pseudomonadaceae. The record is from RNAcentral.
UCCUGGAUUCAGCGGCGGACGGGUGAGUAAUGCCUAGGAAUCUGCCUGGUAGUGGGGGACAACGUUUCGAAAGGAACGCUAAUACCGCAUACGUCCUACGGGAGAAAGCAGGGGACCUUCGGGCCUUGCGCUAUCAGAUGAGCCUAGGUCGGAUUAGCUAGUUGGUGAGGUAAUGGCUCACCAAGGCGACGAUCCGUAACUGGUCUGAGAGGAUGAUCAGUCACACUGGAACUGAGACACGGUCCAGACUCCUACGGGAGGCAGCAGUGGGGAAUAUUGGACAAUGGGCGAAAGCCUGAUCCAGCCAUGCCGCGUGUGUGAAGAAGGUCUUCGGAUUGUAAAGCACUUUAAGUUGGGAGGAAGGGCAGUAAAUUAAUACUUUGCUGUUUUGACGUUACCGACAGAAUAAGCACCGGCUAACUCUGUGCCAGCAGCCGCGGUAAUACAGAGGGUGCAAGCGUUAAUCGGAAUUACUGGGCGUAAAGCGCGCGUAGGUGGUUUGUUAAGUUGGAUGUGAAAUCCCCGGGCUCAACCUGGGAACUGCAUCCAAAACUGGCAAGCUAGAGUAUGGUAGAGGGUGGUGGAAUUUCCUGUGUAGCGGUGAAAUGCGUAGAUAUAGGAAGGAACACCAGUGGCGAAGGCGACCACCU